Molecule: ribosomal RNA, 516 nt
Filed under: uncultured bacterium
Lineage: Bacteria
Description: bacterial SSU rRNA
Rfam family: Bacterial small subunit ribosomal RNA
Source: RNAcentral
AGUUGAUCCUGGCUCAGGAUGAACGCUAGCGGCAGGCUUAACACAUGCAAGUCGAGGGGCGAGCGGGAUGUAGCAAUACAUUGCCGGCGACCGGCGGAUGGGUGCGUAACGCGUAUGCAACCUACCUUAUACAGGGGAAUAACCUUUCGAAAGGGAGACUAACACCCCAUAGUAUUGAUUUAAGGCAUCUUAGAUUAAUUAAAUAUUUAUAGGUAUAAGAUGGGCAUGCGUAUGAUUAGCUAGUUGGUAAGGUAACGGCUUACCAAGGCGACGAUCAUUAGGGGUUCUGAGAGGAAGGUCCCCCACACUGGUACUGAGACACGGACCAGACUCCUACGGGAGGCAGCAGUGAGGAAUAUUGGUCAAUGGGCGCAAGCCUGAACCAGCCAUGCCGCGUGCAAGGAAGACGGCCUUAUGGGUUGUAAACUGCUUUUACAUAAGACUAACCGUAUAUUUGCGAAUAUACCUGAAUGUAUUAUGAGAAUAAGGAUCGGCUAACUCCGUGCCAGCAGCUGC